This 25-nucleotide microRNA is filed under the name Equus caballus (horse). RNAcentral describes it as "eca-miR-8999". Lineage: Eukaryota; Metazoa; Chordata; Mammalia; Perissodactyla; Equidae. The record is from miRBase by way of RNAcentral.
UGCCGCUGGCCCUGCAGUUCCUGAA